Molecule: ribosomal RNA, 486 nt
Filed under: uncultured bacterium
Lineage: Bacteria
Description: partial 16S ribosomal RNA
Rfam family: Bacterial small subunit ribosomal RNA
Source: RNAcentral
GACGAACGCUGGCGGCGUGCUUAACACAUGCAAGUCGAACGCUGAAGACCUGGCUUUUGUUGGGUUGGAUGAGUGGCGAACGGGUGAGUAACACGUGAGUAACCUGCCCUCUUCUUUGGGAUAACGCCCGGAAACGGGUGCUAAUACUGGAUAUUCACUGGCCUUCGCAUGGGGGUUGGUGGAAAGGUUUGUUCUGGUGGGGGAUGGGCUCGCGGCCUAUCAGCUUGUUGAUGGGGUGAUGGCCUACCAAGGCUUUGACGGGUAGCCGGCCUGAGAGGGUGACCGGUCACAUUGGGACUGAGAUACGGCCCAGACUCCUACGGGAGGCAGCAGUGGGGAAUAUUGCACAAUGGGCGAAAGCCUGAUGCAGCGACGCCGCGUGAGGGAUGGAGGCCUUCGGGUUGUAAACCUCUUUCGCUCAUGGUCAAGCCGCAACUGUGGGUUGUGGUGAGGGUAGUGGGUAAAGAAGCGCCGGCUAACUACGUG